GACGAACGCUGGCGGCGUGCUUAACACAUGCAAGUCGAACGGAAAGGCCCUGCUUUUGUGUUGUGCUCGAGUGGCGAACGGAUGAGUAACACGUGCGUAACCUGCCCUUGACUUUGGGAUAACUUCAGGAUACUGGGGCUUAUUCCUGCUAGGAGCUCCUGCUGCAUGGUGUGGGUUGGAAAGUUUCGGCGGUUGGGGCUGGACUCGCGUCUUAUCAGCUUGUUGGUGGGGUAGUGGCUUACCAAGGCUUUGACGGGUAGCCGGCCUGAGAGGGUGACCGGGCACAUUGGGACUGAGAAACGGCCAAGACGCCUACGGGAGGAAGCAGUGGGGAAUAGUGCAAAAUGGGCGGAAGCAGGAAGCAGGAACGCCGCGUGCGAGAGGACGGCCUUCGGGUUGUAAACCGCUUUCGCCGGUGACGAAGAGUGAGUGACGGUAAUGGGUAAAGAAGCAACGGCUAACUACGUG
This 468-nucleotide ribosomal RNA is filed under the name uncultured bacterium. RNAcentral's name for it is "partial 16S ribosomal RNA". It matches the Rfam family "Bacterial small subunit ribosomal RNA", at positions 28 to 507 of the family's 1533-position model. The record is from RNAcentral.